AGAGUUUGAUCAUGGCUCAGGAUGAACGCUAGCUACAGGCUUAACACAUGCAAGUCGAGGGGCAGCAUGAACUUAGCUUGCUAAGUUCGAUGGCGACCGGCGCACGGGUGAGUAACACGUAUCCAACCUUCCGUUUACUCAGGGAUAGCCUUUCGAAAGAAAGAUUAAUACCUGAUAGUAUGGUGAGAUUGCAUGAUAACACCAUUAAAGAUUUAUUGGUAAACGAUGGGGAUGCGUUCCAUUAGGUAGUAGGCGGGGUAACGGCCCACCUAGCCUGCGAUGGAUAGGGGUUCUGAGAGGAAGGUCCCCCACAUUGGAACUGAGACACGGUCCAA
Molecule: ribosomal RNA, 335 nt
Filed under: uncultured bacterium
Lineage: Bacteria
Description: bacterial SSU rRNA
Rfam family: Bacterial small subunit ribosomal RNA
Source: RNAcentral